This 626-nucleotide ribosomal RNA is filed under the name Salmonella enterica. RNAcentral's name for it is "partial 23S ribosomal RNA". It matches the Rfam family "Bacterial large subunit ribosomal RNA", at positions 2200 to 2824 of the family's 2925-position model. The record is from RNAcentral. Lineage: Bacteria; Pseudomonadati; Pseudomonadota; Gammaproteobacteria; Enterobacterales; Enterobacteriaceae. RNAcentral also lists the same sequence under 1 other name.
CCACCCUUUAAUGUUUGAUGUUCUAACGUGGACCCGUAAUCCGGGUUGCGGACAGUGUCUGGUGGGUAGUUUGACUGGGGCGGUCUCCUCCUAAAGAGUAACGGAGGAGCACGAAGGUUGGCUAAUCCUGGUCGGACAUCAGGAGGUUAGUGCAAUGGCAUAAGCCAGCUUGACUGCGAGCGUGACGGCGCGAGCAGGUGCGAAAGCAGGUCAUAGUGAUCCGGUGGUUCUGAAUGGAAGGGCCAUCGCUCAACGGAUAAAAGGUACUCCGGGGAUAACAGGCUGAUACCGCCCAAGAGUUCAUAUCGACGGCGGUGUUUGGCACCUCGAUGUCGGCUCAUCACAUCCUGGGGCUGAAGUAGGUCCCAAGGGUAUGGCUGUUCGCCAUUUAAAGUGGUACGCGAGCUGGGUUUAGAACGUCGUGAGACAGUUCGGUCCCUAUCUGCCGUGGGCGCUGGAGAACUGAGGGGGGCUGCUCCUAGUACGAGAGGACCGGAGUGGACGCAUCACUGGUGUUCGGGUUGUCAUGCCAAUGGCACUGCCCGGUAGCUAAAUGCGGAAGAGAUAAGUGCUGAAAGCAUCUAAGCACGAAACUUGCCCCGAGAUGAGUUCUCCCUGAGACUUAG